AGAUAAAAUCCGUAAUAAAAUACACUUAAACAGGAAGAGUUUGAAGUGAACAUUUUAACAUUUCUAUAUUGCUCAUCAUAGGGAUGGUGCCAAUGGGGAGGCUAGUGGUAGUACCCGGCACUAUUUGACCCAACUAUUUGGUGUAGGGUAUAUUAGGGACGGCACAAGAGGAAGGCUAGUGGUAGUACCUCGUGCCCCUUCCAACUCCACCGGAUAGGGAGCAAAUAGAGUAUAGAGCAUAAGAAGGUAAAAAUGAAAGUAUAUAAGAAGAAUCAAGUCAAAUUUUUUUAAUCACUUGAAAACAUACUUUAAGGAUGAAAUCAGUGCAAGAUUAUAUUUAAAUAGGAGGAGUUUAUUUGAAAAGAAUUGAUUUUGAUCCUUGACAUGCUUGUUCUGAAUAUUUUAAUGCAUAAUAUAUUUUGCAUGUCACAUGAUAUUUUGAAUUAUAUGUUUUCAAUAUUCAUAUAACAAAGAUAUUUCCUAAAUAUAACUUGUAAUGCUUCAUGCCUAUAAAAUUUGAUUGAAACAUGUUAUUACCAACAACAACAUCAUUUUGUUUUAAUGAAU
RNAcentral lists this long non-coding RNA (567 nucleotides) under Phoenix dactylifera (date palm). RNAcentral's name for it is "long non-coding RNA (PDAC_LNC021519)". The record is from RNAcentral. Lineage: Eukaryota; Viridiplantae; Streptophyta; Magnoliopsida; Arecales; Arecaceae.